Molecule: RNA transcript, 3430 nt
Organism: Vigna unguiculata (cowpea)
Lineage: Eukaryota; Viridiplantae; Streptophyta; Magnoliopsida; Fabales; Fabaceae
Gene name: two-component response regulator-like APRR7
Source: RefSeq, a predicted model, not a curated record
CCAACCCACCCAAUAUCUUUCUUUUCCUUCUCCUCUAAACUUAACGUCGGCGUUAUCUGCUUCUCCACCGUGCUUUCAGAUUGGUCAAUCUCCUUUCAUCUUCACAACAGAACACGAGCCACCUUAAAGAUUUUUUUCCCCUUUCGACAAUUUUUUUUGAUAAAUUGUUUAUCCUAAUUUCGCUUUAAGGUUUAACAGCGGUUUCUUUUUAUUAUUAUUAUUGUAAUUAUUAUGACGUAAUGACGUAAUUCCAAUCUUUUCUGUAAUGACUCCAUAAUGGCGAUUAGUGAAGUUUCUCACCUGUGUCAGCGAUUUAGCACGAAGAAUACGAUGCGUCGUUUCUGGUUCUGGAUGUUCAUGUUUGAGCAACGAUCUUGUGUAUGUACAGUUACUGCUCUGAGGUUUUGAAUUUUCAGUAAGUUACGGAAGACCUCAGUAAGUUCUUCAGCUUAGUUAGGGUUUGGAAGAUACUUACAAAGAAAAAUUGAAUCACUUCUUGCAAGGGUUGGUGUUUGGUCUAGAUCCAUGGUUGGUUUUGAAUAGUUUUGUGUGUUGGAUUUGAAGUGAAUGGUUUUAGAAAGUGAGAAUUAUUGUAGAAAGGGUUUUGUUUGAGAGCGCUGUGGAUAUUUGGUCAAGGCAUUUGUUAGUCUUUCUUUAUUCGUUGUAUAUAUAUAUUUUUUAAUUGCAUAUCUAGUGAUUUGCAGUUGCAUUUGGGUUGGGGUUCGUGGAGAUUGUUGAAUGUGUGCUGUUUUUCUUUGGAUGAGGACGGGUUAUAUUCACUGUAAAUUUGGGCAUUCUGGAUGACAAGGGUUGUCCAGAUGAGUGUCGAUGGCGACAGCAAAGAUCUGAAAGAACUGAGUCAGCGCUUACGAGAUGGGAAGAAGAUUGCUGGCGGGGAACAUGAGUUAUGCGAGGGUGAUGAAGUGAAAUGUAAUGGAUUAGCUGAAGGAGUUAAGGCUGGACAGGAGGGGACUGUGGAGUCCUCUGCUCCGCAGCAUAUUCCACAGCCUCAAGGGGCAAUAAUUUGUUGGGAGAGAUUUUUGCAUAUUAGAUCCCUUAAGGUUUUGCUUGUGGAGAUUGAUGACUCUACUCGUCAUGUUGUCACUGCACUGCUUCGCAAUUGUAGUUAUGAAGUUAUUGAAGCAGCUAACGGAUUGCAAGCUUGGAAGAUAUUGGAGGAUUUAACCAAUCAUAUUGAUCUCAUUUUAACUGAAGUGGCAAUGCCUGGUUUAUCAGGCAUUGGUCUUCUAUACAAGAUUAUGGGCCACAAAACUCGGAAAAAUAUUCCAGUAGUUAUGAUGUCAUCUCUUGAUUCUAUGGGUUUAGUCUUUAAGUGUUUGUCAAAGGGUGCCGUUGACUUUCUAGUCAAACCCAUUCGGAAGAAUGAGCUCAAAAACCUGUGGCAGCACGUUUGGAGAAGAUGUCACAGUUCUAGUGGGAGUGGCAGUGAAAGUGGAACGCAUACGCAGAAGUCUGUAAAAUCAAAGAGUCUUGAGAAGUCUGAUAAUAAUUCUGGUAGCAAUGAUGAAGAUGAUAAUGGAAGUGUAGGCCUGAAUAAUGGGGAUGGAAGUGACAAUGGUAGUGGCACUCAGAGCUCAUGGACCAAACGUGCUGUAGAGGUUGAUAGUCCCAAACCUGUCUCUCAGUGGGAUCAAAUAGCUGAGUGCCCUGACAGUACGUGUGCUCAAGUUGUUCACUCGAAUGCUGAAAUCGGUGGGAACAAGGUGGCUCCCCUCGGUGCAAAGGAGUGUUCAGAACAGAAGGAACAACUUGUCAAAACUGCAGGUUCUAAACAUAGCAAUGCACCUGAUGCCGCCCCCUCUAAACCACUGGACCUUAAUUGUGAAAAUCAAUCUAGCAAGCUAAGGUGCAAAGGUUUAUCAUUGUCUGAAGCCAUUACUAGCAGUUCUGAUUCUCAGAUGCAUAGUGGAGAAUUUGAAGCCUUAAAUAAAAGGCUGAAGCCCUCAGAUACUGAAAAUAAAGGUACUAAUAAUGAUGAAGAAUUGCCAUCUCUUGACCUUAGUUUAAAGAGGCUUAGAGGAGUUAAAGAUGCUGAUAUUACAAUUCAGGAUGACAGAAAUGUCUUAAGGCGUUCUGAUCAGUCUGCUUUCUCAAGGUACAAUGCAGCCUCUAACACUAAGAAAUCUCCCACUGGAUGUGUUGGAAGUAAUUCUCCCUAUAAUAAUAGCUUAGAAGUUACAAAGAAAGAUUCAUCUCGUGAUAUUCAAUCUCAUUCAAGCGGCAAUCUUCCUAACCAAAAUUCAAAUGGUGCUAGCAAUAACAUUGAUAUGGGUUCCACUACUAAUAAUGCUUAUGCUAAAUCUGCAGUUAUAAGUGAACUAGCAGUGGCUUCAACCAAAUGUUUGUACCAAACAUCUGCUUUCCAGCCUAUAAAAAACAACCUUGUCUGUAACUCUCAACAAGUCAUCUUACAUAACACUGAAGAUAAAGCAGCAAGAAUGCUGGCACUACCUAAAGUAGACAGACAUAGAGAUUCUGCUGCUCCAGACUUCCAUCUCCAUUAUGAAAAUGGUAACUGUACUGAUGACAUGCACCAGCUGCCAUCUGAUCAUGAUACUGAAUCUGCAAAGAAAUUGGCUACUGCUGCUACUCCGCAUUGUGGUUCAUCAAAUGUGGUAGAAGUGCUAGUAGAAGGUAAUGUUGGAAACCUCAGUAACAAUAGAAGUGUUUCAGGCAGCAACAAUGGAAGCAAUGGCCAAAAUGGGGGCAGCACAGCAGUUAAUGCUGGAGGAACAAACAUGGAAAGCGACAAUGGACUCCCUGGGAAUAGUGGCAGUGGCGAUGCUAGUGGAAGUAGAAGUGCCAACAGAGUAGAUCAAAACAAGACUUCUCAAAGGGAAGCAGCCUUGACUAAAUUUCGCCAAAAGAGAAAAGAAAGAAAGGAGAGGUGCUUUCAUAAAAAGUUGUUAAAAGAGGAGUGAAUAGUGGAUUUGAGAAUGAUGCAUGAUUGAGCUUCAAUUUUCAACCAACGGGAAGCUUCAUCAGCAUCAAUAGAAGACACAUUCUGGGUUCGAUAUCAGAGCAGAAAGAAAUUAGCUGAACAACGACCUCGAUUUCGUGGACAAUUUGUUCGACAGUCGUCUAACGAAAAGACAAGUGAGGCAACGACAGAGAGGUGAUUCUGAUUCAGAGCAUUAGCCACAAUGCCAUAGUGAUGACGAUAUGCGAGGAAAGGUCGAGAAGUCUUCAUGUGGAAUUUGGGGAUUUUUCUGUUUUGUGUUAAUGUAUAAUGACUCUGGUUAUUCCAACUCAUUUGGAACCUGAAUUAAUUUGUGGCGAGAGAGAUUGUCAUGCUGAUUGAUGCCAGGACAACUUAUAGCGAAUAUGUAAUUUCAAUUACUUUUUCGAUGAUCUUGUUCUUGAAGUAUUAAUGUGUUGGUUAACAUAUCCUAGUUACUUGGUUGAGUUA